This 156-nucleotide small nuclear RNA is filed under the name Dermacentor silvarum. RNAcentral's name for it is "U1 spliceosomal RNA". It matches the Rfam family "U1 spliceosomal RNA". Rfam says of the family: U1 is a small nuclear RNA (snRNA) component of the spliceosome (involved in pre-mRNA splicing). Its 5' end forms complementary base pairs with the 5' splice junction, thus defining the 5' donor site of an intron. Lineage: Eukaryota; Metazoa; Arthropoda; Arachnida; Ixodida; Ixodidae. The record is from RNAcentral.
GUACUGAAAGCGCCGAGAAUACCGCGGUCAGGACGGCGGUGUCUCCAGGGUGACGCGCGGGCAUUGCACAGCGCUCGUGCCGAUCUCUGCCACUACUCCGGGUAGAUGGGGCGCAUAAUUUUUGGUAGUGGGGGACUGCGUUCGCGCUCUCCCCUG